Molecule: long non-coding RNA, 3613 nt
Organism: Equus asinus (donkey)
Lineage: Eukaryota; Metazoa; Chordata; Mammalia; Perissodactyla; Equidae
Source: Ensembl
UUUCCUUUUAUUGAACCUCACCAUUUCUGGCAUCUCAACUUUCCCUACACUGUACUUCCAAUUGAGCCUGUCUUCUUUAGCCAGCAAGAGAACUAUCGGAAUCACUCUCAGCUGCUCAAGCCAGCAUCACUAGUUCCAGAAUCGUUGCUUAUAGGCCUUACAGGUAAAACUGGUCAAACAACUUGAUGAAGAAGAGCGGUUUGAGUCUGGCACCAAUGCUGUAUUGGAAAAACAAGCCUGUGACUUGUUUUUAGGUGUCUAUUUAAAAAGGAUCGGAAGUUCAGCCUAGAGUUAACAUCUGCCACCAAUCCUCUUUUUGCUGAAGAAGACUGGCCCUGAGCUAACAUGCAUGACCAUCUUCCUCUACUUUAUAUGUGAGAUGUGCCACAGCAUAGCUUGACAAGUGGUGUGUAGGUCUGCACCCAGGAUCCGAAUUGGCGAAUGCUGGGCUGCUGCAGCGGACCACGCGAACUUAACCACUGUGCCACCAGGCCAGCCUUGUCAUUUAUUUUUUCAUUGUUUUUUCAAUAUUUUAUUAUGAGAAUUUGUAAACAUACAGCGAAGUUGAAGUUUUAUGUUUUUAUGAUAAUAUUUUACAUACAUCCCCAGCAUAGAUUCUACAAUUGAUCUUUUACUGCAUUUACUUUAUCACAGACCUGUCUAUUCAUUCAGCCAUUUGUCACAUCAAUCCAUCUUUUAGGUGUGUGUAUUUCUGCCAGAUAUUUUAGAUUCUGACAAUUUUGCCCCAUAGCAUAAGAGGAAAUAAAACCAGAUUUGCUGCAAAGAAACAAAGAAAGAGAAUCAUGCUGGAUUUUAAAAUUCAAGUCUUAUAGAUGUGUGGGGAAGGGGCACAUUUAAGAAAAUAAUGGAGGGUAAAAAAAUUAGCUAGCAACUUAGGAACUAGAGGAAGUCCUUUGACAUUAUGAAGUGUGUCAAAAAGAUCACUGCAUUCCCAAAGAUUGCCAAACAAUUGCACGGAAAGAAGCUAAAGGUAAAGGAACUAUGGCCCAAGGAAUGCACGAUUUCAGGGAUCUGAAGAGAAUGGAAGAGCGUCUGCCAGUUUUGGAUGCCAGGAGCAUGUCUCCAAAAGGAUAGUAUCAGAAGAACCUGGAACUGUGUGCCCAUUUCCAGGAACGUCUCCCAAGCACAGAACAGGGAAUGCUGCGAUACCACAUUUUAAUCGUCUAUUCCCCUAAUGCAAAGAAUGAGGCAACAAAUGUCCCUUAACAUUUCUCUUUGUCUGUGAGUGUGAGCUUCUCCAAGAGAGUGGUCUUUGUGCUAGUUCUCUAGGGCUCCUGUAAGAAAGUACCACAGGCCGGAUGGCUGAAACAACUCGAAUUUAUUUCUCCCAGUUCUGGAGGCUAGAAUUUUGAGAUCAAGGUGUUGGCAGGGAUGGUUCCUUCUGAGGAUUGUGAGGGAGAGUCUGUUCCAGGCUUCCCUUGGCUUGUAGAUAGCUGUCUUCUCAUUGUGUCUCUACAUUGUCUUUCCUCUGUCUCUGUGUCCAAAUUUCCCUUUUUAUAAGAACACCAAAUGUAUUGGAUUAGGGCCCACCCUAAUGACCUUAUUUUAACUUGAUUACAUCCGGAAAGGGCCUAUCUCCAAAUUCAGUCACAUUCUGAGGUACUGGGGUUGAGACUUCAAUGCGUGAAUGUUGGAGCAGACAAAAUACAACCCGUAGUCUUCAAAUUUAUUUCUUGCAUAACCCGAAAAAGAAUUUGGAAAAACUGUGUACCCUUCACACAGUUUAAUAUUGACACUUAACAAUUUAAAUCAUAGAUUUAAACAGUUCCAAAGGAUAAAAUUUUUGUCGUGUAAAUAUUGAUGUCAAAAUUUGGCGUCAAAAUAAAACGGUUACUCUUUUAAGGGUGUCCAAAGGAAUCUAAAUACCAUAACAAUUUGAUUCAAUAAUUAUAAUCUAUUUAAAAAUGCCUGCGUAAUUUCCAAUGGAAAUUUUAUAUCUUUCCUUUUUUUGCUUUCCAUUCCAAUUCUCCCACAGAAUUUUACCUUCAUGUAACAUAUUUUAAUACCAGAAAGUCUCUUUUUUGACCACCCCAUUAUGCUUCUCUUUGACAAAACUGUGCAUGGAAAUUGAAAUUUUGAAAUAUGUUUUAUUUCUUGGGAUCAUAAGGUUGUAAGUGUUAUUUAAACUUCCUUCUAGGUUGAGUUGUUGCCAUUGUUAUUGUUAAAUGAUGAUCAAGACAAUGAAACUACUUUAUAAAAUUAUUAUUUUGUAAUUUAUUAAACAGAAAAAAUAAGAUUUUAUUGAAAAUGUUUCUCUUGCAAUGAUACAAAUGAUGUCCCUCCCUCCAAUUAGCUCACGUAUCCAUUGACGAAUGACUUAAUGUUAGAACCGUGCAGAUUCUGUGUGAAGUUUAUCCCUGCCCUCACCCCUUUAUAGAAGUAACUGCUGAGAAAACUUAUUCAUAGUAAUAAAUAAAUGGGAAUGAAAGGUGUUUAUUAUAGCAAUUUCAUCCAAUUCUUUGAGUUCUACCCAAAUUCUAUGCCAAAUAUCACCUGGAAAUUUAUUAUAAAAAUUAUUUUUAGUACUCUCUCUGCUAAAAAUUCUAUUAAAUUCUUCUUUUAGUGAAAGUUGAAAACCACCCAACACACAAAAGACCUGUUACCCAGUUAUGAGAGUGACUCAGAGCCUCAAGUUCUGGGAGGCACACCUGACUUACCAAACAGCUCUUAGUUCCCUGUGUUGCUCUUUCACUAAAGCACCUUGUUUAGAACAGGUUGGUGUCUUAGCUUGGGUUCCUCCCAAAACAAACUCUAAGAUGAGGUCUUGAGUUCAAGAAAUUUAUCUGAGAGUUGAUCCCAGAAAGAACAUCCUAAUGGGGACCUUCUGAGUAUCCCGUAGAAUGCACCUCAGAACUGUCGCACUAAAGAACAAGGACGUUGGGAAUUUAUGCACUUUCAGUCCCUGCCCUUGUACCUGGCUGAAUACCAGAGACAGCCCUCCUUGGGCAGAGAAGCAGAAAGACUUGGGCCCUUACCACUAGAAGGUGCAGUGAACUCAGAGGUGGGCCCUUAGGAUAUACAGCGGGACAUCAAAAAUAUCUGUAGUAGGUGAAAUAUAGAAACAUUGUUAAUUUACUGAUAAAAAUAUUUAUCUUAUCAUAUUUUAAAAUAUAUUUUCAUCAAAACCUGAAGCUGCAGAUGUAUUUCAUUUAAUUCAUAAAAAGUCUCCUCCCUAUAUUGACAAAAUGAAUAUACUUUGUUAAAUCUAUCAGUUUAACAUCAUUUUUAAUUCAAAUAAAUGUUAUUAGAAUUCAAAAAUCUUAAGUAUUCUUUGAAUUUAAUAUUGAGUAAAUAUCAACUACUACUAAAACUACUGAAAAUAAAUUUCAGAAUGCAUAUUGUAAAGAGAUUUAUACGAUGUGGAUGUAAUAUAAUUAAUUUAUUCACUUAAUAAUGUUAUGCAAAUAAGAAAAUAAAUUGAGGUGUUGUUUCUUGUUAUUUAAUUUAUAAUAAUGUAACACACUAUUUUGCUAAAAUUGUAAAUUACUUUUGAAGUGAGGCAUAUGAUAAAAAGCACCGUAUUUCUUUGGUGAAUGUAUUUGUGUGCAUGUAUUCUGCUAUGAGGAACAAUUAAAUUAGAACCAAGUAUAGA